RNAcentral lists this ribosomal RNA (270 nucleotides) under uncultured bacterium. Its description in RNAcentral is "partial 16S ribosomal RNA". It matches the Rfam family "Bacterial small subunit ribosomal RNA", at positions 29 to 285 of the family's 1533-position model. The record is from RNAcentral.
AAUGAACGCUGGCGGCGUGCUUAACACAUGCAAGUCGUGCGCGAAGGUGGCUUCGGCCACCGGAGAGCGGCGAACGGGUGAGUAACACGUGGGUAAUCUGCCUGGGAGCGGGGGAUAACCUGGGGAAACUCGGGCUAAUACCGCAUACGUUUUCGAGAUCACGGUCUCGUCAAGAAAGCUGGCCUCUGCUUGCAAGCUAGCACUCCCAGAGGAGCCCGCGGCUGAUUAGCUAGUUGGUGAGGUAAUGGCUCACCAAGGCGACGAUCAGUA